RNAcentral lists this ribosomal RNA (496 nucleotides) under uncultured bacterium. RNAcentral's name for it is "partial 16S ribosomal RNA". It matches the Rfam family "Bacterial small subunit ribosomal RNA", at positions 28 to 506 of the family's 1533-position model. The record is from RNAcentral.
GAUGAACGCUGGCGGCAUGCCUAAUACAUGCAAGUCGAGCGAACAGACGAGGAGCUUGCUCCUCUGACGUUAGCGGCGGACGGGUGAGUAACACGUGGAUAACCUACCUAUAAGACUGGGAUAACUUCGGGAAACCGGAGCUAAUACCGGAUAAUAUAUUGAACCGCAUGGUUCAAUAGUGAAAGACGGUUUUGCUGUCACUUAUAGAUGGAUCCGCGCCGCAUUAGCUAGUUGGUAAGGUAACGGCUUACCAAGGCAACGAUGCGUAGCCGACCUGAGAGGGUGAUCGGCCACACUGGAACUGAGACACGGUCCAGACUCCUACGGGAGGCAGCAGUAGGGAAUCUUCCGCAAUGGGCGAAAGCCUGACGGAGCAACGCCGCGUGAGUGAUGAAGGUCUUCGGAUCGUAAAACUCUGUUAUUAGGGAAGAACAAAUGUGUAAGUAACUAUGCACGUCUUGACGGUACCUAAUCAGAAAGCCACGGCGAACUACGU